RNAcentral lists this ribosomal RNA (1225 nucleotides) under Pusillimonas sp. RNAcentral describes it as "bacterial SSU rRNA". It matches the Rfam family "Bacterial small subunit ribosomal RNA", at positions 29 to 1243 of the family's 1533-position model. Lineage: Bacteria; Pseudomonadati; Pseudomonadota; Betaproteobacteria; Burkholderiales; Alcaligenaceae. The record is from RNAcentral.
GGCAAGGCGUCCGGGAUGCUUUAACAUGCAAGUCGAACGGCAGCGCGAAGAAAGCUUGCUUUCUUUGGCGGCGAGUGGCGAACGGGUGAGUAAUAUAUCGGAACGUGCCCAGUAGCGGGGGAUAACUACGCGAAAGCGUGGCUAAUACCGCAUACGCCCUACGGGGGAAAGGGGGGGAUCGCAAGACCUCUCACUAUUGGAGCGGCCGAUAUCAGAUUAGCUUGUUGGUGAGGUAAAGGCUCACCAAGGCCGCGAUCUGUAGCUGGUUUGAGAGGACGACCAGCCACACUGGGACUGAGACACGGCCCAGACUCCUACGGGAGGCAGCAGUGGGGAAUUUUGGACAAUGGGGGAAACCCUGAUCCAGCCAUCCCGCGUGUGCGAUGAAGGCCUUCGGGUUGUAAAGCACUUUUGGCAGGGAAGAAAAGGCGCCGGAUAACACCUGGCGCUGAUGACGGUACCUGCAGAAUAAGCACCGGCUAACUACGUGCCAGCAGCCGCGGUAAUACGUAGGGUGCAAGCGUUAAUCGGAAUUACUGGGCGUAAAGCGUGCGCAGGCGGUUCGGAAAGAAAGAUGUGAAAUCCCAGAGCUUAACUUUGGAACUGCAUUUUUAACUCCCGAGCUAGAGUAUGUCAGAGGGGGGUAGAAUUCCACGUGUAGCAGUGAAAUGCGUAGAGAUGUGGAGGAAUACCGAUGGCGAAGGCAGCCCCCUGGGGAUGAUACUGACGCUCAUGCACGAAAGCGUGGGGAGCAGACAGGAUUAUAUACCCUGGUAGUCCACGCCCUAAACGAUGUCAACUAGCUGUUGGGGGCCUUCGGCCUCAGUAGCGCAGCUAACGCGUGAAGUUGACCGACCUGGGAGUACGGUCGGCAAGAUUAAAACUCAAACGAAUUGACCGGGACCCCGCACCAGCGGGUGGAUGAUGUGGAUUAAUUUCAUGCAACGCGAAAAAGCUUAACUUAACCCUUGACAUGUUCUGGGAUUUCCGAAAAGACUGGGAAGAGUGGUCGUGAGGAAAACCGGAAACACAGGGUGCUGCGUGGCCUCGUCGUCCGCUCCUUUUCGGCAGAAGUUGAGUUAAGUCCCGCAACGGACGCAUCCCUGCCAUGGGUGCCUACGAAUGCCACGUUCUACUGCAAACUGCAAAUAACAACCGGAGCAGCGGAAGAGGUGCGAGCUCAGCCUAGCGGGUGAGCUUAGCGCUCUACCAUGACUCCCAGGAC